AAUGGAACAUUUAGAACAAACGACUGGGUCGCGUCCAUAGAUACAGAACAAAAAGAAAACGUCACGUCUGUGGCAAACGGACAAACGACCAGUAGGCUUAGGAAGCAACCCUAGAUGUGUCGGGACUAUACCUUGUGCACUGCUGCGCGAGGGCUAGAGGCUGGCGCUCUAUUGCUGCAGCUGCGGUGUGUGAGAGAUGGGAGUGAGCAGACGGGGAGAGACGCCAAGAUUUGAUCUGGUCCGGACCAACCAAAAGCCAGUGA
Molecule: long non-coding RNA, 263 nt
Organism: Oncorhynchus kisutch (coho salmon)
Lineage: Eukaryota; Metazoa; Chordata; Actinopteri; Salmoniformes; Salmonidae
Exons: 3
Source: RefSeq, a predicted model, not a curated record